GCACUGCUGCUUCAGUGGUAAAAUUCUUGCCUGCCCUGUAAGAGGCCCAGGUUUGAUGCCUGGGCAAUGCA
This 71-nucleotide transfer RNA is filed under the name Scleropages formosus (Asian bonytongue). RNAcentral describes it as "tRNA-Gly". It matches the Rfam family "tRNA". Rfam says of the family: Transfer RNA (tRNA) molecules are approximately 80 nucleotides in length. Their secondary structure includes four short double-helical elements and three loops (D, anti-codon, and T loops). The record is from RNAcentral. Lineage: Eukaryota; Metazoa; Chordata; Actinopteri; Osteoglossiformes; Osteoglossidae.